AGCGAACGUUGGCGGCGCGCUUAACACAUGCAAGUCGAACGCGAAAAGCCCUCGGGCUGAGUAGAGUGGCGCACGGGUGAGUAACACGUGAGUAAUCUUCCCUUUGAUCUGGGAUAACAUGCCGAAAGGCGUGCUAAUACUGGGAUAAGACCACGCCCCCUGCGGGGGAUGUGAGAAAAGAUGGGGACCCGAAAGGGCCUGUCGUCGAAGGAUGAGCUCGCGGCCUAUCAGCUAGUUGGCGGGGUAAUGGCCCACCAAGGCUAAGACGGGUAGCUGGUCUGAGAGGAUGAUCAGCCACACUGGAACUGAGACACGGUCCAGACUCCUACGGGAGGCAGCAGUCGAGAGGCUUCGGCAAUGGGGGAAACCCUGACCGAGCGACGCCGCGUGGGCGAUGGAGGUUGUAAGAUCGUAAAGCCCUGUCAGGAGGGAGAACUGCCAAUGGGCAAACAGGCCAUUGGUUUGACGGUACCUCCAGAGGAAGCUCCGGCUAACUCCGUG
Molecule: ribosomal RNA, 501 nt
Filed under: uncultured bacterium
Lineage: Bacteria
Description: bacterial SSU rRNA
Rfam family: Bacterial small subunit ribosomal RNA
Source: RNAcentral